GACGAACGCUGGCGGCGUGCCUAACACAUGCAAGUCGAACGGAAAGGCCCCUUUGGGGUUCCUUGAGUGGCGAACGGUGGAGUAACACGUGAGUAACCUGCCCUUGAUAUUUGGUCAACUUCAGGAAACUGGGGCUAAUACCGGUUAUGCAUCCUUGCUGCUAGGUGGGGGUUGGAAAGCUCCGGGGGCCUUGGAUGGAGUCGUGGCCUAUUAGCUUGUUGGCGGGGUAGUGGCUUACCAAGGCUUUGACGGGAAGCCGGCCUGAUAGGGCGACCGGACACAUUGGGACUGAGAGACGGCCCAGACUCCUACGGGAGGCAGCAGGGGGGAAUAUUGCACAAUGGGCGGAAGCGUGAGGCAACAACGCCGCGGGCGGGAAGAGGGCCUUCGUGUUGAAAGACGCGUUCAGCAGGGGCGAAGCGUGUGGUGACGGUACCUGCAGGAGAAGGACCGGCUAAAUACGUG
This 465-nucleotide ribosomal RNA is filed under the name uncultured bacterium. RNAcentral's name for it is "partial 16S ribosomal RNA". It matches the Rfam family "Bacterial small subunit ribosomal RNA", at positions 28 to 507 of the family's 1533-position model. The record is from RNAcentral.